GUCAUUGAAGAGUUGUUGGACGAACUACACGACGCCUGUUGGUUCUCCAAGCUUGAUUUGCGAGCCGGGUACCACCAAAUACGGCUCGCAGUGGGGGAGGAAUUCAAGACAGCAUUCCACACACACUCCGGCCACUAUGAAUUUCGAGUGGUCUCAUUCGUCCUAGCGGGGGGACCAGCAACUUUAAAUGGAGCAGUCACCCUCACUCUGCACCCUCUCCUAUGCCAUUGCGUGCUGCUUUUCUUCGAUGACAUACUGGUUUUCAGUCACACUCUGCGCGACCACAUCAAGCACCUGCGACAAGUCCUCGAACUCCUUCGUCGAGAUCAGUGGAAGGUGAAACUCAGCAAGUGCGCGUUUGGUCAG
This 366-nucleotide ribosomal RNA is filed under the name Triticum aestivum (bread wheat). RNAcentral describes it as "partial small subunit ribosomal RNA". The record is from RNAcentral. Lineage: Eukaryota; Viridiplantae; Streptophyta; Magnoliopsida; Poales; Poaceae.